Dicentrarchus labrax (European seabass) is the source of this 2392-nucleotide long non-coding RNA. RefSeq lists it as uncharacterized. NCBI's taxonomy places the organism in Eukaryota, Metazoa, Chordata, Actinopteri, Moronidae. The transcript has 2 exons. The record is from RefSeq and is a predicted model, not a curated record.
CCGCUCCAUAUAAGUAAAGGGAAGUAAAACCGUGUUCCUUCCUUCUUCUGUAUCACCAGAACUUUAUUAUGAGCCAACAGAAAGUAAAACCUGGUUACCAGGAAUCCCCUGAAGUUUCCACUGGAGACUCUGUUCAGGUGUCCCGUGUUAUUACUCGUACAACUACCAGGUGUUCCAGUCAUUUAAGGUUAUUAACUGUUUAACAUCUUCCCCAAAAUAUAAUGCUUUUGUUUGUGUCUCUUCAUUUUCACUUUAUCUAUAAAAACUUCCUCCAAACUAACUGUGUUCUGGAUGUAAACGGUAAUGAACAAAGAUCUAAACAUCUGUUUUCAGUCUCAGUCUUUUUCUAUGACUUUGUAUAUCUUAUAUUUUUGAAAUUAUGACCAAUUUUACUUGAGUUUUAAGGUUUUACGAUCAUGUUUUUGCCCUUUAAAAUACUCAGUUCUAAUUUAAAAUGUAUUAAUCAAUAUAUUUUUAAGUAAAUGUGAGAUGUAUUUGUUUAAGUGAGGAAAAGUUCUAUAUUUACUGUACUUUACCUAUAGUAUACCUAGUAUUUCCAUUUUGCUACUUUAUACAUCUACUCCACAGCAUUUCAAUGGGAAUACUACAACCCCACUACAUUAAUUUAACACCCACAGUUCCUGUGUACUUUACAGAGCCUUUAAAUUAUUAUUAAUUAUAGUAAAACUGUAGUAGAAAAUAGAAAAUUAGCAGUACUUUGAUUAGCGAUUACAGUAAUAUGUUGCUUACAUGCUUCUGUAAUAAUAAUCCAUUAAUGUAAUAUAUUUGAUUAAACACUCCCUAAAGCAUGAUUUUUUAUACUUUUAAGUUCAUUUUAUAGACACUUUUAUCCUCUUAAGUAAAAGAUUAACAGGUAAAUUUACACUACGGUACUAAUACUUACAUUUAACAUAUAAAUACUUCUUCCAGCACUGAACUAGAGAGCUCAUAAACUAAAUGUAAGUUUACAUUGCAGUGAACUCUUGUUAAAUAACACUGAUGCAAAAGGCUCACGUUCUGAGUUUCAGGUGGAAACCACAUCUUCCUUUGUGCCAUUUCCUCCACUGCAGAGCAUCAGCGAGGUGUAGAAGAUGAGAUGACAAACUGAAGUGAGAAAUAAAAAAAACAAAAGCAACAACCCACAUCCUGGAUUCAACUGUGCUUUAACCGAAACACUCAGCAGGUGUGAUCACAUGCUGCUGCUACUAUCUGUGACAGGUCUUUUGGGAGUUCAGUGUUCCUGUCAGGCACAAUAUAAAGCGACGAAGGUCUGAGUACACUGGGAAUGUGCAGGUACAUUACUGGAGAACCUUGACCGGACAGGUUAGACAGUUAUAAUAGAUGCUACAUAAUUAUAUAAUCAUCCUUAACCUGAUAAUGAGGAUGUGUUUUGAGCUCAGGAGGAAGAAUUAAAAAGCUUCUGCUGAACAAUUUAAAAUCUCUUUAUAUGUCCUGAGAGCAGAGUUGGGAGGGCUCCUUUAAUAAUCCAAUACAAUAACUAAUUAUCUGUUAAGGAAUGUAGUGUAAUCCAAUUAUUACAAUAUUAAAAUAACGUCACUUGAUUGCUUUCGGUUACUUUUGGUUUAUAUGCCAAUAAAGACAAGAUAAACAGCAAUUAAAAUGAGUUUUAUCUUUUCUAUAAGACAAAAGAACAAUGUUACCUAUCCUGCUAUUAAUCCCCAUUAUUACUAAAUGUAACAGUAAUCUGAUUACGUCUUUUUAAUGUAUAAGUUACCUUUUUUAUUACGUAACUCGGCUGUUAGUCAUGUAAUCUGUAACUCCCCAAAUCCUGCCUGAGAGAUAUUAAAAACACCACUGAAUGAAUAUUCGUGUGUACAAAUACAAAGUCCCUGAGAUCUGUCUGCGUGAUGAUGAUCACACCUCGCUGUAUCAAUUAAGUGACACAAUGGCAUUUUCUGAUUAAAUUUUUAAUUAAAAUACGAAUUUAUCCACAGAUUAAAAAUGAAAGGCAGAAAAAGCAAAAUGUAGCUACAGUCAGGCACCAAUGAUACAUGUUAUUUCAUAUUUUUAACAAUUGCGAUAACGCAACAAUAACAUUAUUUACUGAUCAUUAUUUAAUAUUUAUUUAUUCAACUGAAGACGGGCGGGGCAAUAAGCAGCCCACCAAAGACAUUCAUGGAUUCUCCAUUAUAGAUAACUGAGUAAAGACCGAAGCUGAUCCUAUACCCCCCCUCCCACCCGCCACACCCCCACUUGAUACUCCUCUCACUACCUCACAAGAACUGAAGAUUCAAAAUUAAAAUAAAAAAAAAAAAAAAGAAAAAUUUGCAAAUGUCCACAGGAAAAAACAACACUAGUUCAGUCAGAAAUCAAGAGUAAGAAGAGAGUGGUAUUUAAUAUCAGACAAGCUAGCUGUUUGGGUGGAAGUUGG